GCCGCUCUCCCUAUUGUGUGAACCCUAGCUAACAGCUCCUCCCUGCCACCGCCACCUCCAUCGCCCGAUCUUGGCGACCUCAAGUGGGAAUCGACGGUGCCCAGCACACCAACAGGACCCCCACGCUCCGCUCCUCCCUCCUGUCCGGCGAGAUCCGGCGAGAGCUUCGUUCGCCGCCUUCCUCUCUCAUCCUCUCUCUGAUCCAGAUCUAGUCCCUCCGCCGCCGCCCCCUUCUCCCCCUCAUUCACCAUCGCAACACGCCUACACCUCUCGUUGUACCUGCAUGCACGCGCCCACACGCCUCCCUGCCCACACGCCUCGAUUCCAUCGACCCAACGCCCAGGCCCAGCAUGCGCCGCCGCGGGGAUGGAUCUGGGGAAGAUCGUGAGCGUGUUCAACCAAGUCGGCCAUGGAGGCGGGGGCUCUCUCCGCCAGCGACGUGCCAGAACACGGUCCUCGCCAACCCGCUCAGCCCCGACGAGGCGAUGCGGCACCCCAUGGAGUCGGCCCUCGCGCAGUGCAAGCCCCGCCCCGGGUUCUGCUCCUGCCUCUGGAGAUCAUCUCUAUGAGGGGCUUGUCCUUAGUGAGGACGUGAGCCUACUCGCCAUGGUUUAUUUUAAGAACAUCAUCAACCGCUAGUGGCGCACUCGCCGGGAUUCCUAAGUAAUGCACUUAAGGAGUUGCAUCAAAGGCAUCGUUGGUGCCUAGUGUCCUCGUCAAGUUCCUUCAGCAUAUGAACACAGAUGUCAAAGUCGCAGGAGAGCAUCAGUCGUCCCUUCUUUAGGUUGUCGGCAUUGUGCUAGCACUUUCAGGGAGAGGUCUUUUUGUCCGUUCAGGAGGAACAACAUGAUUGAAGGAAAUAUGCCCUAGACGCAAUAAUAAAGUUACUAUUUAUUUCCUUA
Molecule: long non-coding RNA, 902 nt
Organism: Triticum dicoccoides
Lineage: Eukaryota; Viridiplantae; Streptophyta; Magnoliopsida; Poales; Poaceae
Exons: 3
Source: RefSeq, a predicted model, not a curated record